GGUUGUACUUCUGUGGUAGAGUGCGUGCCUCGCAUGCAUGGGGUGCUAGGUUCAAUUCUCAGCACCA
This 67-nucleotide transfer RNA is filed under the name Marmota monax (woodchuck). RNAcentral's name for it is "tRNA.Ala". Lineage: Eukaryota; Metazoa; Chordata; Mammalia; Rodentia; Sciuridae. The record is from RNAcentral.